This 418-nucleotide ribosomal RNA is filed under the name uncultured bacterium. Its description in RNAcentral is "bacterial SSU rRNA". It matches the Rfam family "Bacterial small subunit ribosomal RNA", at positions 356 to 772 of the family's 1533-position model. The record is from RNAcentral.
AGGGAAUAUUGGUCAAUGGAUGCAAGUCUGAACCAGCCAUGCCGCGUGCAGGAAGAAGGCCUUCUGGGUUGUAAACUGCUUUUGUCAGGGGAUAAAAUUUCCUUGCGAGGAAAAUUGAAGGUACCUGGCGAAUAAGCCACGGCUAACUACGUGCCAGCAGCCGCGGUAAUACGUAGGUGGCAAGCGUUGUCCGGAUUUAUUGGGUUUAAAGGGUGCGUAGGCGGCCUAUUAAGUCAGUGCUGAAAUAUCCCGGCUUAACCGGGAGGGUGGCAUUGAUACUGAUGGGCUUGAGUAGAGUUGAGGUUGGCGGAAUUGACGGUGUAGCGGUGAAAUGCUUAGAUAUCGUCAAGAACACCUAUUGCGAAGGCAGCUAACUAAGCUCAAACUGACGCUGAGGCACGAAAGUGUGGGGAUCAAA